This 253-nucleotide ribosomal RNA is filed under the name uncultured bacterium. RNAcentral's name for it is "partial 16S ribosomal RNA". It matches the Rfam family "Bacterial small subunit ribosomal RNA", at positions 524 to 776 of the family's 1533-position model. The record is from RNAcentral.
UACGUAGGGAGCAAGCGUUGUCCGGAAUCAUUGGGUGUAAAGCGCGCGUAGGUGGCCACAUAAGUCCGUUGUGAAAGUCAAAGGCUCAACCUUUGAAAGCCGAUGGAUACUGUGUGGCUAGAGUACGGAAGAGGCGAGUGGAAUUCCUGGUGUAGCGGUGGAAUGCGCAGAUAUCAGGAGGAACACCAAUAGCGAAGGCAGCUCGCUGGGACGUUACUGACACUGAGGCGCGAAAGCGUGGGGAGCGAACAGG